AGUCGACGAGACCUUCGGGUCUAGUGGCGCACGGGUGCGUAACGCGUGGGAAUCUGCCCUCAGGUACGGAAUAACUCAGGGAAACUUGAGCUAAUACCGUAUAAUGACUUCGGUCCAAAGAUUUAUCGCCUGAGGAUGAGCCCGCGUCGGAUUAGCUAGUUGGUGAGGUAAAGGCUCACCAAGGCGACGAUCCGUAGCUGGUCUGAGAGGAUGAUCAGCCACACUGGGACUGAGACACGGCCCAGACUCCUACGGGAGGCAGCAGUGGGGAAUAUUGGACAAUGGGCGAAAGCCUGAUCCAGCAAUGCCGCGUGAGUGAUGAAGGCCUUAGGGUUGUAAAGCUCUUUUACCCGGGAUGAUAAUGACAGUACCGGGAGAAUAAGCCCCGGCUAACUCCGUGCCAGCAGCCGCGGUAAUACGGAGGGGGCUAGCGUUGUUCGGAAUUACUGGGCGUAAAGCGCACGUAGGCGGCUUUGUAAGUUAGAGGUGAAAGCCCGGAGCUCAACUCCGGAACUGCCUUUAAGACUGCAUCGCUAGAAUUGUGGAGAGGUAAGUGGAAUUCCGAGUGUAGAGGUGAAAUUCGUAGAUAUUCGGAAGAACACCAGUGGCGAAGGCGACUUACUGGACACAUAUUGACGCUGAGGUGCGAA
Molecule: ribosomal RNA, 650 nt
Filed under: Sphingomonas jaspsi
Lineage: Bacteria; Pseudomonadati; Pseudomonadota; Alphaproteobacteria; Sphingomonadales; Sphingomonadaceae
Description: bacterial SSU rRNA
Rfam family: Bacterial small subunit ribosomal RNA
Source: RNAcentral